Molecule: long non-coding RNA, 2976 nt
Organism: Hordeum vulgare subsp. vulgare (domesticated barley)
Lineage: Eukaryota; Viridiplantae; Streptophyta; Magnoliopsida; Poales; Poaceae
Exons: 3
Source: RefSeq, a predicted model, not a curated record
GCAGUGCAUCUCCUCUCCCAAAUCCAACCGGCCACUCUCUCUCCCGUGCCCACUCCCUCUCUCUCCACCCGGAUCCCGUCCCCCAGAUCCACCCGCUCCGCUGUGCCUGCGCGCAGCUAGCGCGCAGCUAGCGCGCAGCCCCGGAUCCCGUCCCCCAGAUCCGCCCCGCCUCUCCGGCCCAAGCUCUCCAAGAGGAGGAGGAGGAUCAUCCGUCCUCGGGCAGAGAGAUGGAGGGCCUGGCGCAGUGGGCCGCGCUGCUGCGGGAGUCGCUGGGCCAGAGCCAGGCGGCCACAGACGCCGUCGUCUCCAUCCUCGGCUCCUUCGACAGCCGCCUUUCCGCGCUGACAGCCGCCUCUCCCACUCCUCCGUCCACUGGAACUUGAACCGGAAGCAACCGCCACUCACCAGGUUAGCUGUUCUCGUCUGCUCUGCCCGCGCACUGCAGGUAGUUGCGUUUAUUCCCGCCAGCACCAUCUUCCUUCCGCCGCGACCUUCCUAGCUAGAUCCAGCACCCAGUUGCCUACCGCGUGCACGCACACUUCUUUGCGUCCAGUGGAAUAAAUUAAGUCAAUAAUGGCCACCAUACUAUACAUCAAGAUACGAGCUUGAGCUUGAAACGAAUAAAGUUGGGUCUUGUGGGAUUAUUGUUUUAGCUUGCGCUUGAGUUUGAGACGAAUACAAUACAAUACAUCAAGGGUCGGAGCAUAGUCUUUGUUUUACUCUUGGAUUUGCAAUUAGUUCCGUUGAGCAGAUCCAGUGGACGGUGGUGACAAUGUGUAGAUGGACAUACACAUCCUCGGCUCAAGCAUAUCGCUACCUCGUCCGGCCUGAUCACUUGUUCAGGUAUGCCACAACUGAGGCUCCUUCAGUUCUCUACCAGUUUAUCAGUAGAGGCUCCUUAGGUACUAAAGGUGCACAUUCGCUUGCUUAUCCAGCAGCCAAACCAAUUUUGAUUCUGGCCUUCCAUCAGCACCAGGCAUAGCGGCACAGGUACCCAGUGGUUGUUAAUUAGGACUCACAGACUUGAGCCUUGUGCAACCUUGCACGCUACUCAGUUUUUUUCUUUUUGUGAAAUAGUAAAAUCUUACUCUACAUGUUAGAACAACUGUUAAUUAACUAGAGCCUAACGAAUCAAAACACACAUUGUAAUAUUUUUUUUAAGAAAACCAGCGAGCCUCUCCCCGAUACAUACAGAGUAUUCUCUCGGACGAUAGGAGUAGUUUGUAUUAUUAUUGAUAGGUAUUGGUUUAUUUGAAGAUGAUGACAGCCCCUUGUCCUUGUUUUUUUUCUUUUCAACCUGUGUGACAAGAAGUGCUGUUUAUAAUAAUAAAGAAACAGUAACUUGCAGAAGAUAUUUCUCACUGAGCUUAUGGAGGCAAUUGCGUCUCGUCUCAUGCUAUAUUGUGGCAAUGGAUAGGAUAUAGCGCUUUCAGGGUACUUAUCAGUUAUCAAUGUUUAGAAAUCUUCUUCUGUUCCUGUCAGAGAUAACAUAUCGCUUCAUGGAUUGGUGCUUGUUCUGUUUGCUGACACUUGGAUGCUCAUAACUUGGUUUCUCGAGCUACGAAUUUAUCACUUGUAUCACAUUUCUAUCACAUGUUAAACUGAUGGUUUUGCUACAACCCUCCAUUCAAAUCAAUAAAACCGUUGGCAUUGCACUUUGCUUGUAGAGUAUAGAGUAGAUACCAAACGAUGUGCUUAGAAAGUACGAUACAUAUCUUCUUUUAUUUAUUUUUCUAUCCUGAUUUUACCAUGUUCCAUACCAUUGGACCGCCUUUUCCAGUAUCUCUAGAGCUAAUCAUUCCUGCAGUUUCAUUGUCUUGCAGUUUUAGUUUGUUUUCAUCUCUUUACUCAACGCUGUUUCUUUUGGCGUAAUGCAGUGGGAUUGUUAACCUGUCUUUGUAUGCUCCGAAACGGGCUUAGGACUUCAUCCAUUCUGCUGCGUUUAUCAGGGCAUCUGUCGAUGGGAGACUAGUAUUUCUACUGACUAGUAAACUCCUUGCAAAUUGGGAGAUUCUGUGUGCUCUUCGGGCUCCUCGCUCUUCGCUUUCCCGGAAGCAUGAUAUACUAAUCCUGAGGACUAAAGAAGUUGAGAAAUAUAGUGCCAUCUCUGGUGGUUUACCUUGCUCAAUAUAUGUGUUAGUAUUGAAAGUUGUACAUAUGAGCAAACCGAGUUUUGUUGAGCUUUGCAUUAUGCUUUAUACCACCCAUUAAAUAUAAAAUGUGCCUGCAAUGCAAGACAUUUUUGUGUAUAUACGUUUUCUUGUUGCCGGAUAGUUCAAAUCUUGGCUUUGCUGGAUAUCUAUCUUUGAUGUGUUGGAACAUUCUGAUCUCAAUAAUCUGUAGGAUCCAUCAUAUAUUGUUUGUUGUAAAUUUGCUAGUUCUAUUCCUACUAAUGUGUGUGCCGCAAGCAAAUCAAAUUUACAUAACUUUUUCAUGUAGAUUUGCAAAGCUGGCUAAAUGCCUUUGUUUCAUUGUCAUUUCGUGUGUAAAUUUUGUUCAUGACCACUUUGGACCAUCUUCUCAAAUAGCUCUGCUCUAGAAAUAACCUAUAACCCUUUCAUUUGCUUAGCUCCCGAGUAGAAUUUACAGGUUUGACUGAAUUGUGGAGAGGAAUGGCGAUUCGUUGCUGGUGCAGAGUCAGCAGUUCUUGGAGAAGGUUGCCAAGACGGUCUCCUUCCUCGCGCAGCCUGAAGGCUCAUUCAUGCUGUUGCUCACAGGGAAGUUCAAAAGGACAGCGCGCUUGAGCUCCUAAACAUGCGCCCCUUCUACUUCGUUUACUUAUGUGGCGUGAAGACAUAAACAAACCUUUGGAGCCAUAGUUGUCUUUUUGUCAUCUAAAAUAAUAAUGGUAACAUAUUAAUACAAACAAAAUAAUAUUCUAGCUCAAAAAAUUGUAUGUGAAUAAUGAAUGGAUGCUAUGGAACUAUAUUUGUUAUGGAGCUAUGUAUGUAUGGAUGCUAUGGAACUAUAUGUAUA